AAAAAGGGGGAAAAAGGUAAGACAAUUCGGUGUGUGUGAAUUCUUCAGAGUAAUGCGGAGCAUUGUGAGAUAUCUUGCGGACUUUGAAUAUUUCAAAUCCUGUACAUACGUUCGGUGAGUCGCUAGACUGUGUGUGUGUUAUAAUUAAUUUAAUAUCCAUAACUGCUGUAUAGUGGACAAAAAUAAAAAUAAAAAUGAUAUUAAUAUAUUGUGUGAUCCAGGAACAGGAAAACUGAAGGUGGGAGAAAAGUGUAUAUUGUCGGGCCAUUAUUGAGAAAUGACUGCCACAGGGCCUAGACGGGGGAGGAGGUUCCUAACUCAGGACGGAGAAAGUAGGCGGCUACGGCAUCCACAGGGACACAAUGGAGCCCGCGUGAAAGAGAUACAAAACGAUGCAGGAGCAAGUGAAAUUUUGUCCUGGUUAAAACGGGGGGCUCAAACAGACGGUGCGGGGAU
Molecule: long non-coding RNA, 456 nt
Organism: Ictalurus punctatus (channel catfish)
Lineage: Eukaryota; Metazoa; Chordata; Actinopteri; Siluriformes; Ictaluridae
Source: Ensembl